This is a long non-coding RNA of Poecile atricapillus (Black-capped chickadee), 1101 nucleotides long. RefSeq lists it as uncharacterized. The record is from RefSeq and is a predicted model, not a curated record. Lineage: Eukaryota; Metazoa; Chordata; Aves; Passeriformes; Paridae. The transcript has 3 exons.
GCAGCCGCUGCGCUCCCCUCACGGAGCCUCACCCGCCUGCCGAGGGAUGGGCAGGGGCCCAGCCCAGCCAUCAAAGCUCCUGCGCGGGGCAAUGAGGCAGAGGAAGGUUCUUAUCUGCCCGGCCUGCCUCAAGUCAGUCCCAGAGAAGCUCAGAGAUUCUUGUGAGGAGCGGAGCUGAACGGGCUGUGCAGUGCACAGUGGUUCUUCAGAACAGCCUGCAUUAUGAGAAGACAGAAUGAACAGAUUCAUCAAACCUGCUGUAAUGUCUGCUGGGUUUGCAUUUGAAAGCAAACUAUAAGAAUUAUCUUGGUUCAACUUUUAUGAGUAACUUGUGAUGUUUACAGAAUAUUCUUGAAUUGAAAUCCAUCGUGAAUCAACAUUGGGCAGGGGCAUUUCAGAGAUGAGCAUGGACACAAAGUGGAGACAGGGAACAGUGUGGGCAUGGGAAAAAUCUCUUCUGAAGGAAGUCAGGCUUCUUUCCCAAAGUUAGUUUUCUGAAUCACAGCUACAGGCAUCAGCUGAAUGCUGGUUGCAUUCCUUGGGCACAGCAUUCAUAGGCUGUUACAGAAAGCUUGCAUUCUAAUUCCAGCUCUUUUCUUAAUUGUUGGUUGGCACACCACUUCAUCUCAUUUUAUCCAAACAUAAUUCUUUGUAACAGAAUGUGUAAAAUGAAAUUUUGUUUUGGAAAGUAUUUUUCAGAUUCUUUUGUUGAAGAAGUUUCAUUUUGGCUUGAUGAACUGCUGCUUGAUUCAGAAAUGCAGUGUUGCACUGCAGACUUGAGUAUUCAUAUAAUUGGGAAACACUGUGCAGCCAAUUUGCCCAUCAGUGGUUGACUUUUCCCAUCUCUAAUUUAAUAAAAAAUUAUAUUUACUUCCAUUGUGUAAAGCUUUGACAACUAUUAAUGAAAAACACGCCAAAAAUUUGGAAAAAAUCCUAUACAAAUGUGAAAAAUCGGGCCUGUUUCUUAUGAUCUGGGGUUGUAUAGGUACCUGUACAUUCAUAAUUCUCACAAAAAAUAAUAUUCACUCACUAUUUUAUUAAUCAUUCAGAUGAUCUAUUGUUUUCAGUCUCUGUUUUUAUUGUCAUCAUCAUCCAAUAAUU